AAUCGACCAGAAUUCUUUGUAGAAUUCUGCAGGAAAGCCGUCUGGACCUGGAGCCUUAUUAUUGGGCAUACUUAUCAGGGCUUCCUGGAGUUCACCUGGUGUCAGUGGUGAAUCCAGUGCCAUUGCUUGAGUGUCCAAUAAUUUUGGAAGAGUUAUGUUGUCCAAAAACUGAUCAAUUUCUUUUUUAGAUGGGUUUAUUUGUGGUGAAUACAACGUUUUAUAGAAAUCCCUGAAAAUGUUGUUUAUUUGUAUCGGAUCAUAUAUUGUGUUCCCAGAUGAAUCUUGAACAGCACAUAUAGUUGUUUUUUCUUUAUUUAUUUUUAGCUGGUUUGCUAGAAAUUGACCGGAUUUAUUACCAUGUUCAUAAUUUUGUAGGCGUAGUCUUUGUACUAAGAAUUUUGUUUUUUAUCAAUUAUCUCAUUUAAUUCUAGUUUUGUUUUGCGUAUUUUGUUCAAUGUUUCCUGAUCUUGGUGGGACGCGUAGGCUUCUUCUAGUGAUUUGAUGUUUUUUUCUAAUUCCUGAAUAUUUUUGUUUUCUUUUUUCUUUUUGUGUGAUGAGAAAGAAAUUAUUUUACCUCUCAUCACAGCUUUCCCUGCUUCCCAUAGAACAGAAGCUGAUGUUUCGGGAGUGUCAUUAUAGUCCAAAUAUGAAGUCCACUCUUUUUUAAAAUAUUUAAUAAAGUCUUCAUCUUUAAGUAGUGAUAUAUUAAAUCUCCAGUUUUUUCUUGGCGUAGUAUUAUUCUUGUGCAUUAGUGUUAAAGAUACAGGACCAUGAUCGCUGACAGCUAUAGGAUGAAUCUCAGUGUCUGAAAUGUCGUUCAGCAGUGAGCUGCUGACCAGAAAAUAAUCCAGACGAGAGUAGGAGUGAUGGACAUGUGAGAAAAAAGUAUAUUCCUUACUGGUGGGGUGAAGGGAGCGCCAUGCAUCGCAAAGACCAAAGUCGCUCAUAUACUGUUUGAUUAUAUUUGUGGACUGCCAAUUACGCUCAGUUCCUGCUGAACUGUAGGGGAGAGCGGGGUAAGUUGUCACACUGUUCAUAACUCCAACACUAGAGGCUCUAUCUCAAAAAUGAAAUAGCCACUUUGUGUGACUUCUUCUUCUAUAGUCAACCUCCUGUUCACAUGUGGUCAAGACUGCUCUAAUCUGAGGUUUUUGAAGAAAGGAAGGAGAGGCAGGAAUUAAGGAAGGAAGGAAGAAAGUAAGAUGGUUCGAAAUUAUCAACGAAAGACAGAGCGUGGCAGAACACCACCUGACAUUAUGUUAAAGGCAGUCAGGCAGGUAAAGAUGCAGAACAAAUCAAUCACAAGUACAGCAAAGGAUUUUGACAUAAAUUACCGCACUGCAAUUACUGACAGCGGACUACCAACUCCAGAGGACAUCCGGCCAUAUCCAAAAGCUGGCCGCCGAAAACCAUCCAGCAAAGGAAGAAAACGACGCAAAUCAGCAAUUCUAACCGACACGCCAGUGAAGCAGCAACUAGAAAAAGAAAAGAAUAAGGCUGAAUCUAGCAAAAAGCUGUUUCAAAAGAGAGGGACGCGAGGGGGGAAAACAUCUGGACCUAUGAAGAACAACGCAGCUAAAAGAAGAAAAAUAAUUCAAGAGUCAUCAUCAGAUGAUGAAGAGUGCUUCUGCCUUGUCUGUGUGGAGCCAUUUUCAAACAGUUGUCCAAAAGAGACCUGGG
Molecule: long non-coding RNA, 1680 nt
Organism: Astatotilapia calliptera (eastern happy)
Lineage: Eukaryota; Metazoa; Chordata; Actinopteri; Cichliformes; Cichlidae
Source: Ensembl